Podarcis lilfordi (Lilford's wall lizard) is the source of this 96-nucleotide non-coding RNA. Lineage: Eukaryota; Metazoa; Chordata; Lepidosauria; Squamata; Lacertidae. The record is from the annotation of a GenBank genome assembly.
GCUCCAGCUGUUUUUGGACUACAGUUCCCAUCAUCCCUAACCUCUGAUCCCGUUAACUAGGGAUGAUGGGAGUUGCAGUCCAAAAACAGCUGGAGA